This 240-nucleotide unclassified non-coding RNA is filed under the name Tremella sp. Its description in RNAcentral is "partial contains 5.8S ribosomal RNA, internal transcribed spacer 2, and large subunit ribosomal RNA". The record is from RNAcentral. Lineage: Eukaryota; Fungi; Basidiomycota; Tremellomycetes; Tremellales; Tremellaceae.
CGCACCUUGCGCCCCUUGGUAUUCCGAGGGGCAUGCCUGUUUGAGUGUCAUGUAGACUCAACCCCCCGGGUUCCUGACCCGGGCGGAGUUGGAUUUGGGCCCUGCCUACCCUGGCUGGCCUUAAAUGAGUUAGCGGAUGGCCGCACGGACGUUGUAAGCACUCGUCCAAGGUCCCGCUCACAGAACCCACCUACUUUGCACUCUGACCUCAAAUCAGGUAGGGCUACCCGCUGAACUUAA